Molecule: non-coding RNA, 2232 nt
Organism: Taeniopygia guttata (zebra finch)
Lineage: Eukaryota; Metazoa; Chordata; Aves; Passeriformes; Estrildidae
Source: RefSeq, a predicted model, not a curated record
UGCAGCGCGCAGAACGCCCCACGCCAGAGCAGAGGAGCAGGAUUCCCCUGCGGCGCCCGGAGCCUUACUGUCUAAAACACCGCAUGGAAAUAGGUGGUGCACUUGGCACCAGCUAAUGACUGGGACAAUUAGGUAGGAUGGCGUAAGCUGAGGAAUGUCGCUUGGGUAACAAAUGCUGGCUCCAGGACCCCAAGCUGUUCGCUACUUGCCUUCCGGCUCAGUGGGAACACUGGCACUCAAGCAAACGUAGAACCACAGGAAUACUGAGCUGGAAGGGAGCCACAAAGAUCCCCCGGCUCCUGGCCUGCACAGGACACCCCACGAACCCCACCAUGUGCCUGAGAACCUUGUCCAAACACUCCUGGAAUGCAAGGCAAUGCUUGGUGUGUGACCGCUUCCUUCGGGAGCCCGUUCCACUGCCCAGCCACCCUGCCUUGCACUGUGGCACUUCCUCAUGCACUUCACUUUCUGGUCAGUACAGCUGCUGCACCAAGGCUGUAGAACUGUGGGGAAUUCUCCUCCAAAACCAAUUCCAAAAAGAAUUUUAAAGCAUGGAAUAGUGUCUUCUCACUCUUGCAUUUUGUGAGAUCUGCAUGUAAAAGUUUUUAACUAUAAGGAAACUAAUUAAAGUAUUCCUUAGCAAUGUAUGUCAUCAAUAGGGAGCCCAGCAGUCAGCAGAAAGAUCACAGCAGCUUCAGGGUGCUCCGCCUGCAUGACAACAUACCAUAAUCUAUAGUUUUGCCUUGCACUAAGAUGAAAAGACAAAAAGAAGGGCAAAAUACAAUGUAGAAUUUUUUCUUGCAGCAUAAGCAUCUGUUUCCUGCAGGAGAUGGCAGUAUAGAAACUGUAACUGUCCUGAUGUGUCUGGAAUUUGCACUCUAAGAAGUCAUACAGCAACUUGAGGGGAGCUUAAUACUUGAGUCCUGUGUCCAGUUCUGGGCCCCUCACUUCAAGAAAGACAUUGAAGUGCUGGAGCAUGUCCAGAGAACUGCAACAGAACUGGUGAAGGGUCUGGAGCACACGUCCUGUGAGGAGUGGCUGAGGGAGCUGGGGUUUAGCCCGGAGAGGAGGAGGCUCAGGGGUGACUUUAUCCUUUUUCUAUAACUCCCAGGAAGGAGGGUGUAGCCAGGUGGGGGUCAGCCUCUUCUCACUGGCAAUCAGCAACAGGAUGAGAGGAUGUGGUCUUCAGCUAUGCCAGGAGAGGUUCAGGUUGGACAUCAGGAAGAAUUUCUCCAUGGAAAGGAUUGUCAGGAAUGGGAAGGGGCUGCCCAGGGAGAUGGUGGAAUCACCAUUCCUGGAGGCAUCCAAGGAAUGACUGGACGAGACACUCAGUGCUCUGGGCUGGUUGACAAGGCAGUGAUCAGUCAAAGGCUGGACUCAAUCAUCUUGGAGCUCUUUUCCAACCUAAGUGAUUCUGUGAGUCUAUUCUAUGGUUCCAACUUAAUGAAACAGUCACUGUGUGCUGUGGAAUUAGUAAAAUAUUAAUCCUUCAUGAUCUAGGAAGAUUUUAGGUUUUUGCUGAAAUUUGGGCAUGGAUGGGAUUUAAACUACUACUCACAAUUAGUAAAGUUUGCUUAUAGCCUGAUAUGUAAUAUUCACAGUUUAAUUUGUUAUGGGAUGUGAAACUCCUACUAACCAGAAAUAUAUCAUCGCUACCUCUAAGGUUUCAUUACUCAGUUAAAAAAUCAUCUGAACGAGUUAGUGUGUUGUGACUCUGUGGCCAUCUCCAGAUUAAUAUUGUAUGGAAACAAAUACGUUUCCAUAUUUGUUGCUGUUUAGACAGAUCCCAACAGGCAUGUCGUAAUCCCAGACAUACAUUUGUACCUGGAUGUUCUCUUUAGAGCCUGUGAAUGAAAGUGAGACAAGAAGGCUCGUGUGAAGAGGAAUUAGCUACAGUGAAUAAUCCUCAGUCCAGAGGCCCUUAAGAGACUGCAGUCAAUUCUCUGUGAAUUCUGUCUCUCUGUGCACUUCUGAGGGAGAUUACAGCAAAUGGAGCAACCACAGCAGUUUCCUGUUCUGUUAUACCAGCAGAUUAUUCAUUAUGCAUGUCCCUGGUGAGAAGUACAAUCAAACUUGUUCUCUUCAUAAGGGUGGACUUGAACACAAGUAUUUGAUCCAUGUUCUUUGAUAAGAUGCUCGGAGUAUAUUUCUAAUGAAUAUGCUAAAUUAAAUAUUUUAAUAUUAACUACUUGUUCAUUUCCCUUAACUGUAAAAUAAAUCUUGUCCCCCCUU